RNAcentral lists this ribosomal RNA (662 nucleotides) under Alexandrium margalefii. RNAcentral's name for it is "partial Bacterial large subunit ribosomal RNA". It matches the Rfam family "Bacterial large subunit ribosomal RNA", at positions 1926 to 2585 of the family's 2925-position model. The record is from RNAcentral. Lineage: Eukaryota; Dinophyceae; Gonyaulacales; Pyrocystaceae.
AAUGUCGGCCGUAACUAUAACGGUCCUAAGGUAGCGAAAUUCCUUGUCGGGUAAGUUCCGACCCGCACGAAUCGUGUAACGAGUUGACGACUGUCUCGGAGAGAUGCUCGGUGAAAUUGUAGUAGCGGUUAAGAUGCCGCUUACCCGCAGCAGGACGGAAAGACCCUAUGCACCUUUACUGUAAGCUGUUAUUGUCGCUUGAUUUUCAUUGCGUAGAAUAGGUGGGAGACGUUGAUACUUCACUCCAGGGUGAAGAGGAGUCACAAUGUGAAAUACCACUCUUUGUUGGUUAGGCGUCUAACCUCUUUCCAUUAUCUGGAGGAGGGACAGUGAUAGCAGGUCAGUUUUACUGGGGCGGUAUCCUCCCAAAAAGUAACGGAGGAUUUCGAAGGUUCCCUCAGCCCGGUCGGUAAUCGGGCUACAGAGCGCAAGAGUAUAAGGGAGCUUUACUGUGAGACCUACAAGUCGAGCAGUUGCGAAAGCAGGAUCUAGUGAUCCGGUGGUUGAAUGUGGAAUCGCCAUCGCUCAUAGGACAAAAGGUACGCUAGGGAUAACAGGCUGAUCGCGCCCAAGCGUUCACAGCGACGGCGCGGUUUGGCACCUCGAUGUCGGCUCAUCACAUCCUGGGGCUGGAGAAGGUCCCAAGGGUUCGGCUGUUCGCC